Sander lucioperca (pikeperch) is the source of this 440-nucleotide long non-coding RNA. RefSeq lists it as uncharacterized. The record is from RefSeq and is a predicted model, not a curated record. The transcript has 3 exons. Lineage: Eukaryota; Metazoa; Chordata; Actinopteri; Perciformes; Percidae.
UGACCUUUACUUGCCCAGUUCAGACCAAAGAUCUGCAACGAGACAAGUUGAAACUUUCAACUUCUUGCAACGAGCCAGUCUGCAGCGUUCUAAAACCUGCCAGUUCACACCAAUGAGAUGAGACGAGAUGAGAUGAGACGAGAUGGUGUAUCAACAACGCCUCUUUGUACUUCGGUUCUAACUUCCGACUUUUAGGCUUUUUUGUAGCUGGAUAUAUCAUUUGUUUCGUCAAAAUAUGAAUGUGGAUAACGUUAGUGAUAUUGAGACGAUUGCUACAGUUGCAUUUCUAGUGACGAAUCGGCAAAAACACGUUUUAUUUCUCUGAUUCACUGCUUUCUUCUAUUUCCCUCUCUUCAGUCACUCUCGGUCGCUUGACCAGAUAACGUUACCGUGCUCUCGGGCGGUCAUUGAGGCUCCGGCUAAAACUCUGCCAUUUCGAC